AUGGUGGCUACAGGAGCUCUGCGACCUCGAUCUGACGGCGGGUGCACGGCGAACUCGAUACGGCGCGGCGGGGUCGUGGCGAGAUCCAUCCUGCAUUCGAGUUGCAUCAAGCUCAAUCCGAAGCUUCAGAGGGAGUUUGAGCAGUGUUUGGAUGUCACUUUCAUCAUUUGUAUCUGUAUACUCAGCGCCAUCACUUUCAGAAUCUUCCUCUUCUUCCUCUUCCUCUUCAAACAGAUCAUCUUCAGAAUGUGUUACUGGUUCUGCUUCAAUGGGUUCACAUUCGACUCCAUCUUUACUGAGAACCGUAGGGAAGUCACCAUCAUCAAUUGUAGUGUAAUUCAAUGCAGCCGUGAUAUGCUCAUUCUCUUGGCAUGCUUCAGAACUAGACUUAUUUGAUAAAGUUGGA
RNAcentral lists this long non-coding RNA (406 nucleotides) under Oryza sativa Indica Group (long-grained rice). Its description in RNAcentral is "lncRNA OsZS97_12G008020". The record is from RNAcentral. Lineage: Eukaryota; Viridiplantae; Streptophyta; Magnoliopsida; Poales; Poaceae.